GAUGAAGAACGCAGCGAAAUGCGAUAAGUAAUGUGAAUUGCAGAAUUCAGUGAAUCAUCGAAUCUUUGAACGCACCUUGCGCCCUUUGGCCAUUCCGAAGGGCAUGCCUGUUUGAGUAUCAUGAACACCUCAACUCUUCAUGGUUUUCCGUGAUGAGCUUGGACUUUGGGGGUCUUGCUGGCCUAUGGUCAGCUCCUCUAAAAUAAAUCAGCUUGCCAGUGUUUGGUGGGUAUCACAGGUGUGAUAACUAUCUACGCUUGUGGUUUUCCACCAGGUAACCUUCAGCAGUGGAGGUUCGCUGGAGCUCACAGAUGUGUCUCUCCUCAGUGAGGACAGCUCUUUGAAUGUUUGAUCUCAAAUCAGGCAGGACUACCCGCUGAACUUAAGCAUAUCAAUAAGCGGAGGA
RNAcentral lists this unclassified non-coding RNA (406 nucleotides) under soil metagenome. Its description in RNAcentral is "partial contains 5.8S ribosomal RNA, internal transcribed spacer 2, and large subunit ribosomal RNA". The stretch from base 1 to 121 matches the Rfam family "5.8S ribosomal RNA", at positions 35 to 154 of the family's 154-position model. The record is from RNAcentral.